AGCUCCAAUAGCGUAUAUUAAUGUUGUUGCAGUUAAAAAGCUCGUAGUUGGAUUUCUGCUUGGAAUGCACGUUCUACCACGCAAGUGGUAUGAAUCAGUGUAUUUUAGGCUUCCUUUAGGAGAACUCUGAUGUCAUUUAUUUGGCGUCUUUGGGAUUCUAAUCGUUUACUGUGAAAAAAUUAGAGUGUUUAAAGCAGGCAUUUGCAUGAAUACAUUAGCAUGGAAUAAUAAGAUAGGACUUUGGUGCUAUUUUGUUGGUUUGCACACCAAGGUAAUGAUUAACAGGGACAGUUGGGGGUAUUCGUAUUUAAUUGUCAGAGGUGAAAUUCUUGGAUUUAUGAAAGACGAACUACUGCGAAAGCAUUUACCAAGGAUGUUUUCAUUAAUCAAGAACGAAAGU
This 400-nucleotide ribosomal RNA is filed under the name phytoplankton environmental sample. RNAcentral describes it as "partial small subunit ribosomal RNA". It matches the Rfam family "Eukaryotic small subunit ribosomal RNA", at positions 587 to 990 of the family's 1831-position model. The record is from RNAcentral.